GUGCCAGCAGCCGCGGUAAUACGAAGGGUGCAAGCGUUAAUCGGAAUUACUGGGCGUAAAGCGCGCGUAGGUGGUUCAGCAAGUUGGAUGUGAAAGCCCCGGGCUCAACCUGGGAACUGCAUCCAAAACUACUGGGCUAGAGUAUGGUAGAGGGUGGUGGAAUUUCCUGUGUAGCGGUGAAAUGCGUAGAUAUAGGAAGGAACACCAGUGGCGAAGGCGACCACCUGGACUAAUACUGACACUGAGGUGCGAAAGCGUGGGGAGCAAACAGGAUUAGAAACCCGUGUAGUCC
This 292-nucleotide ribosomal RNA is filed under the name uncultured bacterium. RNAcentral describes it as "partial 16S ribosomal RNA". It matches the Rfam family "Bacterial small subunit ribosomal RNA", at positions 505 to 796 of the family's 1533-position model. The record is from RNAcentral.